This 294-nucleotide long non-coding RNA is filed under the name Mytilus galloprovincialis (Mediterranean mussel). Lineage: Eukaryota; Metazoa; Mollusca; Bivalvia; Mytilida; Mytilidae. The record is from RNAcentral.
CAAAGGUCAAAUGUUUUCCAAUUUGAAAUUAUUUUUUUUAUUUUCUUCACUCUGUGUGGCACCUAUAGCUACAUUGUCAAAUUUGACUUGGAAUAUGAUCUGUCCUUUAAAAGGGCCCUUGACCUAGUUAAAUGUUCAAAACAGAGAUUUGGAUCAGUUUAGAACUGUAAUGGUUCGAUUAAAAAAAAAUUGAACCCCCUCUGUGGUAUGAUUCUACACAUUUUUAUUUACAAUUUGUAUGGAUCUAAUUUUGCUUUACUGGCUUGUGAGCAGCUUUAACAUACAACAUGCUUU